Molecule: ribosomal RNA, 301 nt
Filed under: uncultured bacterium
Lineage: Bacteria
Description: partial 16S ribosomal RNA
Rfam family: Bacterial small subunit ribosomal RNA
Source: RNAcentral
CAGUCGCCGCGGUAAUACGAAGGGUGCAAGCGUCAAUCGGAAUUACUGGGCGUAAAGCGUGCGUAGGCGGUUUGUUAAGUCUGCUGUGAAAUCCCCGGGCUCAACCUGGGAAUGGCAGUGGAUACUGGCAAGCUAGAGUGUGUCAGAGGAUGGUGGAAUUCCCGGUGUAGCGGUGAAAUGCGUAGAGAUCGGGAGGAACAUCAGUGGCGAAGGCGGCCAUCUGGGACAACACUGACGCUGAGGCACGAAAGCGUGGGGAGCAAACAGGAUUAGAUACCCCCGUAGUCCCUGUCUCUUAUAC